RNAcentral lists this ribosomal RNA (472 nucleotides) under uncultured bacterium. RNAcentral's name for it is "SSU rRNA". It matches the Rfam family "Bacterial small subunit ribosomal RNA", at positions 26 to 518 of the family's 1533-position model. The record is from RNAcentral.
AGGACGAACGCUGGCGGCGUGCUUAACACAUGCAAGUCGAGCGGAAAGGCCCUUCGGGGUACUCGAGCGGCGAACGGGUGAGUAACACGUGAGUAAUCUGCCCCUAGCUCUGGGAUAGCUCCGGGAAACCGGGAUUAAUACCGGAUACGACCACUUUAGACAUCUGUUGUGGUGGAAAGAAUUUUGGCUAGGGAUGAGCUCGCGGCCUAUCAGCUUGUUGGUGGGGUAACGGCCUACCAAGGCGACGACGGGUAGCCGGCCUGAGAGGGCGACCGGCCACACUGGGACUGAGACACGGCCCAGACUCCUACGGGAGGCAGCAGUGGGAAUAUUGCGCAAUGGGCGAAAGCCUGACGCAGCGACGCCGCGUGGGGGAUGAAGGCCUUCGGGUUGUAAACCCUUUCAGCAGGGACGAAGCGAAAGUGACGGUACCUGCAGAAGAAGCGCCGGCUAACUACGUGCCAGCAGCCGC